GUUUAGUUAUAUCUGAUUUGGCUUUAGAUGAUCUAAAUACAUUUGAGAUAGUUUUUUACCCCUUAGCUUCAUCUAUAUAAAUUUUUAUUUUAUAACAGUUCCAAAUUUUUAAAUCCAGUGCAUUUUCUCUUGAUAUUGUGUGGAUUUUGCUAAAACCAUUUCUAUCGUAUGAAAUGUUUUGACUUAUAAAUCAUUUCAUGUACUUUUCUGCCUGGACUAAUUAUUCAAAAUGUAUAUUUCAUUAGAAUUAAGCAAAAAUUUAAGUUCAUUCUGAGAGUACAGUAAGCCUCAUUGUAUGUGUGACCUAUAUUACUAGUCUUGUGUUUUUGUAUGCUAUGUUAUACUUGAUUUUAAAAAAUUAUAGGUUUAUACACACACAUUAAAUAUAUUUAAGUUGUUUCAAGUAUUUGAAGUUGUUGUGACUUUUCUGAAAUUGUUGCCUCUUAGAGUAUGAUACUUUAAGAUUAUUAACCAUUGACUCAAUGGGCAAUACUUGGGCUCAUAUAUCACUUGACUAUAAUAUGAAAUGUGUUUUAUGGCAUGUUGUCUUAUAGUUCUCUGUAACAUUAAGGUCUAAGAGAAAUGAAUAAACAGCCUUUUUAUGCUAAAGCCGAUUUUCUG
This 621-nucleotide long non-coding RNA is filed under the name Marmota monax (woodchuck). The record is from RNAcentral. Lineage: Eukaryota; Metazoa; Chordata; Mammalia; Rodentia; Sciuridae.